AGCCCUCACUUGCAAUUUUUGGACGAGCUCGGCGACCGGUUUAGGUGGUCCCUGAGGAAUCCAGCAGCAUCGCGGGUGGCCGAGGCUGAGUUCGCUGCCAGGAAAUUGCACUUGAGAGCCGCAGGUACAGGCUGCUGCUUCCUCUGCUGAGCAGGAUCGUGGCAAGGGCGUCGCGAGCUAGAGCCCUACCAGACUGAUCGAGUUAGAGGCGUCCUCCCCUUACAGCAGGUAGUGAUUUUUCUUUUGGAGCUUUUGUACAUAGCAGUUGAACUCGCCAGUGCGAGUGGUUUUGUACUUGGGAUUUGUGACUAUGUAUAAAAAGCUCGUUUACUUUAGUUA
Long non-coding RNA from Ananas comosus (pineapple), 339 nucleotides. RefSeq lists it as uncharacterized. NCBI's taxonomy places the organism in Eukaryota, Viridiplantae, Streptophyta, Magnoliopsida, Poales, Bromeliaceae. The transcript is spliced from 3 exons. The record is from RefSeq and is a predicted model, not a curated record.